AAGAGCCGUAUGAAUCGAGAGGUUCACGUACGGUUCUGUGAGAGCCUGAAGGUGAAACCCCUUCGGGCUACUCGACUGGAAGGUCGGCUACUCAAC
Non-coding RNA from Paenibacillus sp. DMB20, 96 nucleotides. The record is from Rfam. Lineage: Bacteria; Bacillati; Bacillota; Bacilli; Caryophanales; Paenibacillaceae.